UGCAAGAAGGAGGCGGCGGCGGCGGCGGCGGCGGCCGGAGCUGGAGGGGGAGGAGGGGAGGAACCUGAUCCUCGGUAGCGAAGGGCUGGAGGCAAACACCGAGCUCCCCCUGAGCCGCCUGGGAGCAGGGAGGGUUCUGCUACCCUGAGGUGCCCUCCCCGCGGGGCAGAGGGGUUUCCUCAGCAGUGCCCCAGAGCAGGGACUGCGCCAGCCGGCAGAAACAGCUAGUUCUUGUCUGCAGUGAAGAAUAAUUGGAAGCAUGGUGCCUGUUUCUUUUCCUGUGGGAGGAAGUCACAGCAUGUGCUUCUGAACCUGUGCUUGCCUUGAGGAACAACGGCAUGACACGGGGAUGUGGACGCUUUCAACCAGAAGAUUCUGUACGAUAGUGUCGGCACACAAGGAGUGUUCCGCUGACUGACCUCUUUUUGUUUUCAAAUGAAGAGGAGCCAAGAAUAGGACAGCUUGGGAAGCUCAUCCUCGUCUACGGCCAAACGUUGGUUUCUCAUUUCUAGAAUGAAAGAUGUGAUGACUUAGGGAAAACUGGGAUCUUAGUAACUGUGGUGGGCACUGAGCCUUGCCGUCCACAAGAGAAAGCUUGCUGCUCGAGAUGUGAGUCUUCAGAUGUUCCUGCCGCCAUAUCUGACAGCUGCUGCCAAGAUUCCCUGGUGGGAUGGACUCUUAUACCUCGACAACCAGAAGCCCAAGUAAACUCUUCUAUAAAUUGAAUGACUCAUGCUUAAAAAA
Molecule: long non-coding RNA, 744 nt
Filed under: Mus caroli (Ryukyu mouse)
Lineage: Eukaryota; Metazoa; Chordata; Mammalia; Rodentia; Muridae
Description: lncRNA (MGP_CAROLIEiJ_G0013751.1)
Source: RNAcentral